Neopsephotus bourkii (Bourke's parrot) is the source of this 949-nucleotide long non-coding RNA. RefSeq lists it as uncharacterized. The record is from RefSeq and is a predicted model, not a curated record. Lineage: Eukaryota; Metazoa; Chordata; Aves; Psittaciformes; Psittacidae. The transcript has 3 exons.
UUCAGAUGUUAUGGUUAUUUACUUUGUCUCUGUCUUUGAUGUUCACUUUUCAGAAUGCUCCAGAGAAGCAGCGCUGUCAUCGUGACUAGAAGAGUACACUCUUCAGUCCCCAUGAGAAGCAGGCAAAUCCUCUGUCAUCUAAACUACAAACUGGUAUCAUGUGUUUACCAUCUGAUUGUACAAGCUAUUCGAUACCAAGGCAGAAGUUUUAAAGGCACGCAGGCAGAAGAAUGGCUGGAUACAUGUGCCUGACCUGGCAGAAUUAUGAAGGAAAGGGAAAAGUUGUGCAGAGAAACUACAAAAUGUGGCUGUGAAGAGAUCUGUGGAAAGAAAGAGAUCUGCAGAGAAAAAAGAAAAUGUCGUUUAAAAACAUGACUAAUGUUACUGACAUUACUAAUAACAGAAAGGGCUUCAAAUCAUUUAAGCACUUCUCUAACAUGAAUUCUUCAUGAUUGCCUGUGAGCAGCUAUAGUGAAGGAUUCCAACAGCCAGCGAGCCAGCUUUCAACUGUGCCUCAGCUGGAAGAUGUUUUGAAAUCUGCCAACUUGCCUCCUUGGGGUAAGGUUUGGGAAUUUUGUGUUUUUGUUUUUAAAUAAGUUUCAGACCUUUGGCUUACUGUGGACUAACAGAGCUCCACUGAAGUCUAGCACAGCAUCAAAGGCAUUUAGAUAUGUACAGAUACAAAUAAAUAGCAGAAUUUUAAGCAGACAAACUUUCUGUCUUUGAAACAGAUCAGCCCUGACAGACACCGUCUCUGUUUUACUUGGUUUUGAAAGUAUGGAGCUAAACCUGCAACUUGCAUGUUACAAGGUUAACUGUAAGUGAUACGGCAUCACUGUUAUGGUGAUGAUUCGGAUUUAUCCCAGUUGACAAAUAUCAUGUCUGUUUGAAGAAUGUGAGAAGGAAGGUUCAUCCUGUUAUAAGCAUUUACAGAUGUAAGUAUAUCUUC